This 386-nucleotide ribosomal RNA is filed under the name Sphaeropleales sp. Its description in RNAcentral is "partial small subunit ribosomal RNA". It matches the Rfam family "Eukaryotic small subunit ribosomal RNA", at positions 582 to 975 of the family's 1831-position model. Lineage: Eukaryota; Viridiplantae; Chlorophyta; Chlorophyceae; Sphaeropleales. The record is from RNAcentral.
AUUCCAGCUCCAAUAGCGUAUAUUUAAGUUGUUGCAGUUAAAAAGCUCGUAGUUGGAUUUCGGGUGGGUUCUAGCGGUCCGCCUAUGGUGAGUACUGCUAUGGCCUUCCUUUCUGUCGGGGACGGGCUUCUGGGCUUCACUGUCCGGGACUCGGAGUCGACGUGGUUACUUUGAGUAAAUCAGAGUGUUCAAAGCAGGCUUACGCCCUGAAUACUUUAGCAUGGAAUAACACGAUAGGACUCUGGCCUAUCUUGUUGGUCUAUAGGACUGGAGUAAUGAUUAAGAGGGACAGUCGGGGGCAUUCGUAUUUCAUUGUCAGAGGUGAAAUUCUUGGAUUUAUGAAAGACGAACUACUGCGAAAGCAUUUGCCAAGGAUGUUUUCAUUA